Molecule: ribosomal RNA, 254 nt
Filed under: uncultured bacterium
Lineage: Bacteria
Description: partial 16S ribosomal RNA
Rfam family: Bacterial small subunit ribosomal RNA
Source: RNAcentral
UACGUAGGGGGCAAGCGUUGUCCGGAUUUAUUGGGCGUAAAGAGCGUGUAGGCGGCCUGAAAGGUCAGCUGUGAAAACUCGGGGGCUCAACCCCGAGACGUCGGUUGAAACCAUCUGGCUAGAGUCCGGAAGAGGAGUGUGGAAUUCCUGGUGUAGCGGUGAAAUGCGCAGAUAUCAGGAGGAACACCUAUGCGAAGGCAGCUCGCUGGGACGUUACUGACGCUGAGACGCGAAAGCGUGGGGAGCAAACAGGG